Molecule: microRNA precursor, 102 nt
Organism: Anolis carolinensis (green anole)
Lineage: Eukaryota; Metazoa; Chordata; Lepidosauria; Squamata; Anolidae
Gene: aca-mir-7-2
Product: aca-mir-7-2
Source: Ensembl
UGUUGGCCUAGUUCUGUGUGGAAGACUAGUGAUUUUGUUGUUUUUAGAUAACUAAAUUGACAACAAAUCGCAGUCUACCAUAUGGCACAGGCCAUAACCUCU